GAUGAACGCUGGCGGCGUGCCUAAUACAUGCAAGUCGAGCGAACAGAUAAGGAGCUUGCUCCUUUGACGUUAGCGGCGGACGGGUGAGUAACACGUGGGUAACCUACCUAUAAGACUGGGAUAACUUCGGGAAACCGGAGCUAAUACCGGAUAAUAUUUCGAACCGCAUGGUUCGAUAGUGAAAGAUGGUUUUGCUAUCACUUAUAGAUGGACCCGCGCCGUAUUAGCUAGUUGGUAAGGUAACGGCUUACCAAGGCGACGAUACGUAGCCGACCUGAGAGGGGGGUUGGGCAACCUGGAACCUGGACACGGGCCAGACGCCUAAGGGAAGGAGGAGUAGGGAAUUUUACGCAAUUGGGGGAAGCCUUGCGGAGGAACGGCGCGGGAGUUGUGAAGGUUCUGCGAUCGGAAAAACCCUGUAAUAGGGAAGAACAUACGUGUAAGUAACUGUGCACGUCUUGACGGUACCUAAUCAGAAAGCCACGGCUAACUACGUG
Molecule: ribosomal RNA, 497 nt
Filed under: uncultured bacterium
Lineage: Bacteria
Description: partial 16S ribosomal RNA
Rfam family: Bacterial small subunit ribosomal RNA
Source: RNAcentral